CUGGACUUUCAAGUCUGUGCAGGUGAAGGUGUGUGAGAGCGCCCGAGAUGGCAGAACAAGAGCUACAGAACCCUUAUGACCCAAGAUGGAACUGAAAUGCCAUCCUAUUAUCAAGAAGGAGCAUAAGAACAGCUAGAGGAGAGAUGCAAGAUUGAAAUAUCAUGGAAUGGGCUAUGGUUUAUCCUCUCUUCUGGUCAUAAAACAUCAUCAGGUUGCAAUUGCUCAGAUCAGAAAUUCCCAAGCUUUUAAUAAGGCCCUCAGGGAGCCUCAUUCAGGGACAACUGCCCUGUCACUGGGAAUAAGUAGAGUGUGUGGGAAAUAUGUUGUCCUUGGUAAAACCUCCCCUUAGGAAAGAAGGCAAGAGAAUUGAGUAAGAUAAUGAUGGGCCAAAAGGAAAAAAUAGAGAAAGAGGCUGCAUGCUACAGAGAACAAGAGCAAAGAUUCGAAAGCUUGGCACAGUUGGGCUUGAAACCAUCUGUGUAAAGGGGACUAAUAAUGCUGACCUCAUUGGGUCAAAAAUGACGUUUAAAAUAAUGGUGUUUGCAAGGGACCUAGCACGUAUUAAGAAUUUAAUAAACAUUGGUUUUCCUCCCUUCUCCUAGGGAUUAGGGAAAGCAACAUCACUUUGCUUAAAUGCAUAUAAAAAGGCUUCAGACUGCUUCUUAACAAUGAGCAUCUUUUGACAGUGAAUAUGCAAACCAAAAAUAAAGAGCAGUUGAGAAACUUUG
Cercocebus atys (sooty mangabey) is the source of this 728-nucleotide long non-coding RNA. RefSeq lists it as uncharacterized. The record is from RefSeq and is a predicted model, not a curated record. The transcript has 2 exons. NCBI's taxonomy places the organism in Eukaryota, Metazoa, Chordata, Mammalia, Primates, Cercopithecidae.